CCUGACGUCACUUCCGGUUAAGGGUGGAAGCCCGAAAGGUCCCUUUGGAGCCCAUGGCGACCCCAAAAGCUCCCAUUGGAACCCAUAGAGACCCCGAAAGGUCCCUUUGGAGCCCACGGCGACCCCAGAACGGCUCUUUGGAGCCCAUGGAGACCCCAAAAGGGCCCUUUGGUACCCAUGGAGACCCCAAAAGCCCCUUUGGAGCCCAUGGAGACCCCACAAGAUCCCUUAGGAACCCAUGGAUACCCCAAAAGGUCCCAUUGGAGCCCGUGGGUCUCUAUGGGGCUCUAUUGGGCUCCGGGGGUCCCUAUGGGGUCUCUAUGGGGUCUCUAUGGGUCCCUAUGUGGUCUCUAUGGGGCUCUAUGGAUCCCUAUGGGGCUCUAUGGGGUCUGUGUGUCCCUAUGGGGUCUCUGUGGGGCUCUAUGGAUCCCUAUGGGUCCCUAUGGGUCCCUAUGGGGCUCUAUGGGUCUCUAUGGGUCUCUAUGGGUCCCUUUGGGGUCCCUAUGGGUCCCUAUGGGGUCUCUAUGGGUCUCUAUGUGUCCCCACGGGAUCUCUAUGGGGCUCUAUGGAUCCCUAUGGGUCCCUAUGGGGUCUCUGUGUGUCCCUAUGGGGUCUCUGUGGGUCUCAGUGGGUCCCUAUGGGAUCUCUGUGUGUCUCUAUGGGGUCUGUAUGGGUCUCUAUGGGUCCCUGUUGGGUCACUCUGGGUCUCUAUGGGUCCCUAUGGGGUCUCUAUGGGUCACAGUGUGUCCCUAUGGGGCACCGUGUCGCCCCACAGAUCCCACCGUGUCCCCAUACGGCCCCGCGGAGCUGUGGGGCACUGAACCGUUCCCAAUAGGGGGGAGGAGCUCCCACUCCCCCCUCCCCCCUCUGCCCUAUAUCAGUUGUGGGGCAGAGCUGUGGGGCAGAGCUGUGGGGCAGCCCCACAAUGGCCGUCACCGUCGAUCCCUGGGAUUUGGGGGUCGUUGGGGGGUAUUUCCUGUGCGUCUUCGCUGUGGGGCUGUGGGUAAGGAGUGGGGUGGGACCCAGAAGUGUGGGGUGGGACCCAUAAGUUGGGGGUUGGGACCCAUAAGUGUGGGGUGGG
Molecule: long non-coding RNA, 1081 nt
Filed under: Gallus gallus (chicken)
Lineage: Eukaryota; Metazoa; Chordata; Aves; Galliformes; Phasianidae
Source: RNAcentral